RNAcentral lists this ribosomal RNA (241 nucleotides) under uncultured bacterium. Its description in RNAcentral is "partial 16S ribosomal RNA". It matches the Rfam family "Bacterial small subunit ribosomal RNA", at positions 92 to 334 of the family's 1533-position model. The record is from RNAcentral.
CGGGUGGCGGACGGGUGAGUAAUACUUAGGAAUCUGCCCAUUAGUGGGGGACAACUCGAGGAAACUCGAGCUAAUACCGCAUACGCCCUACGGGGGAAAGCGGAGGACCUUUCGGGGCUUCGCGCUAAUGGAUGAGCCUAAGUCGGAUUAGCUUGUUGGCGAGGUAAGGGCUCACCAAGGCGACGAUCCGUAGCUGGUCUGAGAGGACGAUCAGCCACACUGGGACUGAGACACGGCCCAG